This 253-nucleotide ribosomal RNA is filed under the name uncultured bacterium. Its description in RNAcentral is "partial 16S ribosomal RNA". It matches the Rfam family "Bacterial small subunit ribosomal RNA", at positions 524 to 776 of the family's 1533-position model. The record is from RNAcentral.
GACGUAGGGGGCGAGCGUUGUCCGGAAUCACUGGGCGUAAAGAGCACGUAGGCGGGAUAUUAAGUCAGGUGUGAAAGACCGUGGCUCAACCACGGGGUUGCAUUUGAAACUGAUAUUCUUGAGGGCAGGAGAGGACAGUAGAAUUCCUGGUGUAGCGGUGAAAUGCGUAGAAAUCAGGAGGAAUACCGGUGGCGAAGGCGACUGUCUGGACAGUAACUGACGCUGAGGCACGAAAGCGUGGGGAGCAAACAGG